This 1316-nucleotide ribosomal RNA is filed under the name Xylariaceae sp. 5341. RNAcentral's name for it is "eukaryotic LSU rRNA". It matches the Rfam family "Eukaryotic large subunit ribosomal RNA", at positions 66 to 1409 of the family's 3401-position model. The record is from RNAcentral. Lineage: Eukaryota; Fungi; Ascomycota; Sordariomycetes; Xylariales; Xylariaceae.
CAACAGGGAUUGCCCUAGUAACGGCGAGUGAAGCGGCAAGAGCUCAAAUUUGAAAUCUGGCCCUAGUGGUCCGAGUUGUAAUUUGCAGAGGAUGCUUUUGGUGCGGUGCCUUCCGAGUUCCCUGGAACGGGACGCCAUAGAGGGUGAGAGCCCCGUACGGUUGGACACCUAGCCUCUAUAUAGCUCCUUCGACGAGUCGAGUAGUUUGGGAAUGCUGCUCUAAAUGGGAGGUAAAUUUCUUCUAAAGCUAAAUACCGGCCAGAGACCGAUAGCGCACAAGUAGAGUGAUCGAAAGAUGAAAAGCACUUUGAAAAGAGGGUUAAAUAGCACGUGAAAUUGUUGAAAGGGAAGCGUUUGCGACCAGACCUUCUCCAGGGGGAUCAACCGCUGUUCUCAGCGGUGCACUCCCCCUGGUUUAGGCCAGCAUCGGUUCUCUUAGGGGGAUAAAGGCCUUGGGAACGUAGCUCUUUAGGGAGUGUUAUAGCCCCUGGCGCAAUACCCUUCAGGGGACCGAGGACCGCGCUUCGGCAAGGAUGCUGGCGUAAUGGUCGUCAACGACCCGUCUUGAAACACGGACCAAGGAGUCGAACAUUUGUGCGAGUGUUUGGGUGUUAAACCCUCACGCGUAAUGAAAGUGAACGGAGGUGAGAGCCUUAGGGUGCAUCAUCGACCGAUCCUGAUGUCUUCGGAUGGAUUUGAGUAAGAGCAUAACUGUUCGGACCCGAAAGAUGGUGAACUAUGCGUGGAUAGGGUGAAGCCAGAGGAAACUCUGGUGGAGGCUCGCAGCGGUUCUGACGUGCAAAUCGAUCGUCAAAUCUGCGCAUGGGGGCGAAAGACUUAUCGAACCAUCUAGUAGCUGGUUACCGCCGAAGUUUCCCUCAGGAUAGCAGUGUUGUCUUCAGUUUUAUGAGGUAAAGCGAAUGAUUAGGGACUCGGGGGCGCUAUAUUGCCUUCAUCCAUUCUCAAACUUUAAAUAUGUAAGAAGCCCUUGUUACUUAGUUGAACGUGGGCAUUCGAAUGUACCAACACUAGUGGGCCAUUUUUGGGUAAGCAGAACUGGCGAUGCGGGAUGAACCGAACGCGGGGUUAAGGUGCCAGAGUGGACGCUCAUCAGACACCACAAAAGGUGUUAGUACAUCUUGACAGCAGGACGGUGGCCAUGGAAGUCGGAAUCCGCUAAGGACUGUGUAACAACUCACCUGCCGAAUGUACUAGCCCUGAAAAUGGAUGGCGCUCAAGCGUCUCACCCAUACCUCGCCCUUAGGGUAGAAACGAUGCCCUAAGGAGUAGGCGGCCGUGGGGGUUAGUGACGAAGC